Molecule: ribosomal RNA, 398 nt
Filed under: uncultured bacterium
Lineage: Bacteria
Description: partial 16S ribosomal RNA
Rfam family: Bacterial small subunit ribosomal RNA
Source: RNAcentral
AAUAUUGGACAAUGGGCGCAAGCCUGAUCCAGCCAUGCCGCGUGAGUGAUGAAGGCCCUAGGGUUGUAAAGCUCUUUCAACGGUGAAGAUAAUGACGGUAACCGUAGAAGAAGCCCCGGCUAACUUCGUGCCAGCAGCCGCGGUAAUACGAAGGGGGCUAGCGUUGUUCGGAAUUACUGGGCGUAAAGCGCACGUAGGCGGGUCGGUCAGUUAGGGGUGAAAUCCCAGGGCUCAACCCUGGAACUGCCUUUAAUACUGCUGGUCUAGAGUUCGAGAGAGGUGAGUGGAAUUCCGAGUGUAGAGGUGAGAUUCGUAGAUAUUCGGAGGAACACCGAUGGCGAAGGCGACAUACUGGCUCAUUACUGACGCUGAGGCGCGAAAGCGUGGGGAGCAAACAG